Molecule: long non-coding RNA, 937 nt
Organism: Drosophila pseudoobscura
Lineage: Eukaryota; Metazoa; Arthropoda; Insecta; Diptera; Drosophilidae
Exons: 2
Source: RefSeq, a predicted model, not a curated record
AUGUAUUUGUCUGUUAAUUUUUAACAUGCUGGGCUGCCUAACCCACUUAGACCGAUUUCGGCCCGUUUUGUGGAACCGCUUGGAAUCUCCCCUUUUUUACAUCUUGAGACAUAAUUUCAGCAGUUAACCCAUCCGGAUGACAUUAAAAAUUAUCGAUCUUUUUGGGACAUAUUGUGGACAUUUCUAAGAUUUCAGCAAUGAAGGGCGAGCCCAAGUGUUGUAGCCUUUUUCUGCUGAUAGCUGGACAGGAGCAAGUGUUCCACCGCGUCCACUUCUUCCUCGUCUCUAAAGCUACGGCAGAAAUCAGUGGUGAGAAGACUUCCGCUGCUGCAAAGCGCUGAGCUAAGCCCAGUUGCUUGGUGAUCGUCAUUUUUGAUUGGACCAGCCAACUGUUUGUGACUCCGUGGAGUCGUAUUUGUCUAACUGUUAUCACACAUUCAUUAAAUAUUGGAUUUUCGCAGUAAGAUUUAAAGGUUUCCUCUAAAUAUCAUCCAAUUGAAGCUGGAGUACCACAGGAAAGCGUUCUCGUCUCCACAGCAGUCUUACAACAACUUCGACAUUCUCUGAUGAUACUGCCAUCCUAAGUCACCACAAGGGCCCAACAAGAGCAACGGAACACUUAUCAUCUUAUCUCGUGGCCUUGGAAAAAUGACUAGCAGACUGGAGCAAAAGUACAAACACCUUUACCCUGAACAGACAAACUUUCGCACCAGUGUCUCUGAACAACAUCAAGAUUCCUCAGACAACCGAGGUAACAUACCUGGGUGUCCAUUUGGACUAAGGGCUCACAUUUGGCGUCAACACAUCCAAGCGAAGAGAAAUCUACUGAAAUUUUAAGCUUCUAAUAUACAUUGGCUUAUAAACGUUGGUAAUUUUGACAAUGCAGCUCCCAAACCAAUUUGGACAUACACUCACAUAGCUUUUUAGUAAUUAGUAA